This 253-nucleotide ribosomal RNA is filed under the name uncultured bacterium. Its description in RNAcentral is "partial 16S ribosomal RNA". It matches the Rfam family "Bacterial small subunit ribosomal RNA", at positions 524 to 776 of the family's 1533-position model. The record is from RNAcentral.
UACAGAGGGUGCAAGCGUUGUUCGGAAUUAUUGGGCGUAAAGCGCGUGUAGGCGGCUUUGCAAGUCGGGUGUGAAAGCCCUCAGCUUAACUGAGGAAGGGCGCCCGAAACUGCAGAGCUUGAGUACCGGAGAGGGUGGCGGAAUUCCCCAAGUAGAGGUGAAAUUCGUAGAUAUGGGGAGGAACACCGGUGGCGAAGGCGGCCACCUGGACGGAUACUGACGCUGAGACGCGAAAGCGUGGGUAGCAAACAGG